UUCGCAAGAUGAAUGAGCUGCCAACAAUAUAUGAAUUGGUUAUUGUAAUGAAAAAAAUCAAGAAGUUGCUACUGAAAAUGCCAAGAAACGAGUAAAGGAUAAAUCAACAGUUUCAUAUCACAGCAACAAGAAUUCAAUGUCGAAUUCUGAAGUGGUACAGUUGAAAACCUUCAGCUUGGACUCUCAAUGGAUCCUCUCUGACUUGAUCCAUGUUUUAGCUUUCAAUCAUAUCCACACCCAUUAUAAAUGUGU
RNAcentral lists this long non-coding RNA (252 nucleotides) under Capsicum annuum. RNAcentral describes it as "long non-coding RNA (CANN_LNC007309)". Lineage: Eukaryota; Viridiplantae; Streptophyta; Magnoliopsida; Solanales; Solanaceae. The record is from RNAcentral.